UCAUUUGUCAUCUGAGUCAUUCGCCUUUUCCUUUGCAGGAUAUGUUUGAUCCCCAUGGCUGGUCUGAGGACUCCUACUAUGAGGCAUUAGCCAAGGCCCAGAAAAUUGAGAUGGACAAAUUGGAAAAGGCCAAAAAGGAGCGAACAAAAAUUGAGUUUGUGACGGGCACCAAGAAAGGCACCACGACCAACGCCACGUCCACCACCACUACCACUGCCAGCACAGCUGUUGCAGAUGCUCAGAAGAGAAAGAGCAAGUGGGACUCGGCUAUCCCAGUGACAACGAUAGCCCAGCCCACCAUCCUCACCACCACAGCCACCCUGCCAGCUGUUGUCACGGUCACCACCAGCGCCAGCGGCUCCAAGACCACCGUCAUCUCUGCUGUGGGCACCAUUGUGAAGAAGGCCAAGCAGUGACCUCAGGGGCCACCCUAGGACUUGAAAGGACCGUGCAGCCCAGUGACCACUGCCCAGUGGGAGGCGCCACUUUGUAUAUUUCAGGACUGGGACCUGCUCCCCAGAUGCCACCUGAGAGGAGCUUCUGUUUGGCAUUCCAGAUGGAAGGACAGGCAGCACGGGAGCCAGGCGCUGUGGACAGGGUCUGUCCACGCACCACCUGGGGUCUGCCGCCUAUUAAAAGUGCCGUAUUCUUA
This 652-nucleotide small RNA is filed under the name Pan troglodytes (chimpanzee). RNAcentral's name for it is "retained intron". Lineage: Eukaryota; Metazoa; Chordata; Mammalia; Primates; Hominidae. The record is from RNAcentral.